Loxodonta africana (African savanna elephant) is the source of this 107-nucleotide small nuclear RNA. Lineage: Eukaryota; Metazoa; Chordata; Mammalia; Proboscidea; Elephantidae. The record is from Ensembl.
GUGCUCGCUUUGGCAGCACAGAUACUAAAAUUGGAACAAUACAGAGAAGAUUAGCAUAGACCCUGCGCAUGGAUGACGUGCAAAUUCAUGAAGCCUCCCGUGUAUUU